AGUGAACGCUGGCGGUAUGCCUAACACAUGCAAGUCGAACGGCAGCACAGUAAGUUCUUGCUCUUACCGGUUGCGGGUGGCGGACGGGUGAGGAAUACAUCGUAAUCUACUUUUUCGUGUGGGAUAACGUAGGUAAACUUACUCUAAUACCGCAUACGACCUACGGUGGAAAUCAGGGGAGCUUUUUACCUUUCGCGUUUGAUCGCGCCGAUGUCGCGUUAGGUAGUUGGCGUGGCAAAGGCCGACCAAGGCGACGAUCCGUAGCUGGGCUGAGAGGAUGAGCAGCCACGAGAGAGCUGAGACACGGUCCAGACUCCUACGGGAGGCAGCAGUGGGGAAUAUGGGACAAUGGGCGAAAGCCUGAUAAAGCGAUACAGCGUGAGUGAAGAAGGCCGUCGGGUUGUAAAGCCCUUUUGUUGGGAAAGAAAAGCAGCAGGUUAAUAACCCGCUGUUCUGACGGUACCUAAAGAAUAAGCACCGGCUAACUUCGUG
This 492-nucleotide ribosomal RNA is filed under the name uncultured bacterium. RNAcentral's name for it is "partial 16S ribosomal RNA". It matches the Rfam family "Bacterial small subunit ribosomal RNA", at positions 29 to 507 of the family's 1533-position model. The record is from RNAcentral.